AGCUCCCCAAACCUACAAAUUCUUCCCUUAAUUUCACGCUUUAGUUUCUCUGUUUUUUUUCCCCCAAUAUGAGCGACUACAAAAACGGCUAUCCCUAUCCCUAUACUCCUCCAGGUGGUUAUAAUCAAGGGCCGCCUCCAGUAAUGGCGCCUCCUCAGUAUUAUGAAGCAGCACCACCGCCACCCCGGAGAGAACCGGGUUUUCUCGAGGGAUUCCUUGCAGCUUUAUGUUGUUGCUGUCUCCUGGAUGACUUCUGCUGCGACCCGUCUGUGAUAAUUGUGGACUAGGGAUCCCACAGCGUUGACAAAUUCAUUUAUGUAUUGUUGGACAUUUGUGGAUCCACCGACAGCGUGGUGUGAACAACAACAUCCGUUAAUUGCUAGCAUGAGCGGCAGGAACUUUGUUACAACAUAUGAUGAGCUCAGAGGCCACACAUCACCCAAUUCCCCAGGUCAGAUGAGCUCAAUUUAUUUGCAUCAGCCAAUUUUUAUUUAAGCA
Hibiscus syriacus is the source of this 498-nucleotide long non-coding RNA. RefSeq lists it as uncharacterized. The record is from RefSeq and is a predicted model, not a curated record. The transcript has 4 exons. NCBI's taxonomy places the organism in Eukaryota, Viridiplantae, Streptophyta, Magnoliopsida, Malvales, Malvaceae.